UUGAUUUUGGUCAAAGUCAAACUGCUUCAAGUUUGACCAAGUUUAUAGAAAAAAUAGUAAUAUUUUCGACCCAAGAUAAAUUUAUUAUAAAUAUAUAUUUAAUUAUUAAUUUAAUAAAACUAAUUUGGUAAUGUAAAUAUUACUAUAUUUGUCUAUAAACUUAGUCAAACUUGAAGCAGUUUGACUUUAACAAAAGUCAA
RNAcentral lists this microRNA precursor (200 nucleotides) under Oryza glumipatula. RNAcentral describes it as "MIR1435 microRNA precursor family". It matches the Rfam family "MIR1435 microRNA precursor family". The record is from Rfam by way of RNAcentral. Lineage: Eukaryota; Viridiplantae; Streptophyta; Magnoliopsida; Poales; Poaceae.